This is a long non-coding RNA of Polistes dominula (European paper wasp), 442 nucleotides long. RefSeq lists it as uncharacterized. NCBI's taxonomy places the organism in Eukaryota, Metazoa, Arthropoda, Insecta, Hymenoptera, Vespidae. The record is from RefSeq and is a predicted model, not a curated record.
GAUCUUAUUUUAUUGAAAAGGAAAACUCUAUUCAGACUAAAAGAAAAGAUCAGGUAGGCCAUAAAACCAUAAACGAACCUUAAGGAUUAUUAGGAUAUUGGUGUAAUAAAAACCAUGUGUGCAGUGUCGGGACCUUUUGAAGAACUUCAGAUACCUGUGUAAACAUAUGCGAUGCUAUAAAAAGGGUAACAUUCCGAUGUGCUAGAUUAAGUUUCUGUAUGCAUAGUUCCCACUACCGAAACCAUAGGCUGUACCUGUCGGUGGACUAUGGGGUGGAUCCUUAUGCUAUUGAUAACUACAAGGAUUGGAAUCAUGUCAACCAGAGUGCACUGUUUUUUUUGUAGCCCCCACUUCACCGGCCUGUAUUUCUACGAAUUUUUUAUUUUUUUUCACGAUUUUUUUUUGUAUUCUUAAAAUGUUAAUAAACAUCAUAUAAAAAAUG